GGGUCCAUGGUGUAGCUUGGCUAGGGUUUGGCGCGAAGCGCCGGACGAGCUUCAGACAGGAGUUCAAAUCUCCUUGGACCCA
Molecule: transfer RNA, 82 nt
Rfam family: tRNA
About the family: Transfer RNA (tRNA) molecules are approximately 80 nucleotides in length.